This 404-nucleotide ribosomal RNA is filed under the name Verrucomicrobiota bacterium. RNAcentral's name for it is "Verrucomicrobia bacterium partial 16S ribosomal RNA". It matches the Rfam family "Bacterial small subunit ribosomal RNA", at positions 355 to 776 of the family's 1533-position model. The record is from RNAcentral. Lineage: Bacteria; Pseudomonadati; Verrucomicrobiota.
UGGGGAAUAUUGCACAAUGGGGGAAACCCUGAUGCAGCGACGCCGCGUGAGCGAUGAAGGCUUUCGAGUCGUAAAGCUCUGUCCUAUGGGAAGAUAAUGACGGUACCAUAGAAGAAAGCCCCGGCUAAUUCCGUGCCAGCAGCCGCGGUAAUACGGAAGGUUCGGGCGUUAUCCGGAUUUAUUGGGUUUAAAGGGAGCGUAGGCCGUUUGGUAAGCGUGUUGUGAAAUGUAGGAGCUCAACUUCUAGAUUGCAGCGCGAACUGUCAGACUUGAGUGCGCACAACGUAGGCGGAAUUCAUGGUGUAGCGGUGAAAUGCUUAGAUAUCAUGAAGAACUCCGAUUGCGAAGGCAGCUUACGGGAGCGCAACUGACGCUGAAGCUCGAAGGUGCGGGUAUCGAACAGG